CUACGAGGGGCAGCAGUGAGGAAUAUUGCACAAUGGGGGAAACCCUGAUGCAGCAACGCCGCGUGGAGGAUGACGCAUUUCGGUGUGUAAACUCCUUUUAUCAGAGAAGAAAAUGACGGUAUCUGAUGAAUAAGCUCCGGCUAACUCCGUGCCAGCAGCCGCGGUAAUACGGAGGGAGCAAGCGUUAUUCGGAAUCACUGGGCGUAAAGGACGCGUAGGCGGGUUUUUAAGUCAGGUGUGAAAUCCUAUGGCUCAACUAUAGAACUGCACUUGAAACUGGGGACCUAGAGUAUGGAAGGGGCAGGUGGAAUUAGUGGUGUAGGGGUAAAAUCCGUAGAUAUCACUAGGAAUACCGAAAGCGAAGGCGACCUGCUGGGACAUUACUGACGCUGAGGCGUGAAAGCGUGGGGAGCAAACAGGAUUAGAUACCCCAGUAGUC
Molecule: ribosomal RNA, 439 nt
Filed under: uncultured bacterium
Lineage: Bacteria
Description: partial 16S ribosomal RNA
Rfam family: Bacterial small subunit ribosomal RNA
Source: RNAcentral